GACCCCGCACAAGCGGUGGAUUAUGUUGUUUAAUUCGAAGAUACACGAAGAACCUUACCAGGUCUUGACAUCCUCUGCAAAGCUAUAGAGAUAUAGUGGAGGUUAACAGAGAGACAGGUGGUGCAUGGUUGUCGUCAGCUCGUGUCGUGAGAUGUUGGGUUAAGUCCCGCAACGAGCGCAACCCUUAUUGCUAGUUACCAUCAUUUAGUUGGGGACUCUAGCGAGACUGCCAGUGAUAAACUGGAGGAAGGUGGGGAUGACGUCAAAUCAUCAUGCCCUUUAUGACCUGGGCUACAAACGUAAUACAAUGGCUAUGACAAAGAGAUGCAAGACCGCGAGGUGGAGCAAAACUCACAAAGAUAGUCUCAGUUCGGAUUGAAGUCUGCAACUCGACUUCAUGAAGUUGGAAUCGCUAGUAAUCGCAAAUCAGAAAGUUGCGGUGAAUACGUUCUCGGGGUUU
Molecule: ribosomal RNA, 460 nt
Filed under: uncultured bacterium
Lineage: Bacteria
Description: bacterial SSU rRNA
Rfam family: Bacterial small subunit ribosomal RNA
Source: RNAcentral